GAUGAACGCUGGCGGCGUGCUUAACACAUGCAAGUCGAACGGAAAGGCUCCUGCUUGCCGGGGUACUCGAGUGGCGAACGGGUGAGUAACACGUGGGUGAUCUGCCCUGCACUUCGGGAUAAGCCUGGGAAACUGGGUCUAAUACCGGAUAGGACGAUGGUUUGGAUGCCAUUUUGGAAAGUUUUUCGGUGUGGGAUGAGCUCGCGGCCUAUCAGCUUGUUGGUGGGGUAAUGGCCUACCAAGGCGUCGACGGGUAGCCGGCCUGAGAGGGUGUACGGCCACAUUGGGACUGAGAUACGGCCCAGACUCCUACGGGAGGCAGCAGUGGGGAAUAUUGCACAAUGGGCGCAAGCCUGAUGCAGCGACGCCGCGUGGGGGAUGACGGCCUUCGGGUUGUAAACUCCUUUCGCUAGGGACGAAGCGCAAGUGACGGUACCUGGAGAAGAAGCACCGGCUAACUACGUG
Molecule: ribosomal RNA, 465 nt
Filed under: uncultured bacterium
Lineage: Bacteria
Description: partial 16S ribosomal RNA
Rfam family: Bacterial small subunit ribosomal RNA
Source: RNAcentral